This 467-nucleotide ribosomal RNA is filed under the name uncultured Oomycota. RNAcentral's name for it is "LSU rRNA". The stretch from base 1 to 82 matches the Rfam family "Bacterial large subunit ribosomal RNA", at positions 477 to 559 of the family's 2925-position model. Lineage: Eukaryota; Oomycota. The record is from RNAcentral.
UGCGAGACCGAUAGCGAACAAGUACCGUGAGGGAAAGAUGAAAAGAACUUUGAAAAGAGAGUUAAAGAGUACCUGAAACUGCUGAAAGGGAAGCGAAUCGUAUCCAGUGUCUAUAAUCUGCGGCAUAUUUCAUUGGCGGCGGUGCGCGUGCUUUUGCGUCGGAAGCGGCUUUUGUUGCUCUGUGCUUUUGCUGUGCGUGGUGUUGCUGGUGCCCUGUGUUGCGGUGGGACGUCAGAGUCAGUUUGUAUGCUGCGGGAAAUGGCUGCCGAGGAGGUAGGUCGAGAUUUCGGUCUUGGCUGUUAUAUCUUGGUGGUUUGUUGUCGUGGUUGAGACUGAGGUGCCUACAAUGUGCUUUUGAGUGUACCGGGUUCUCAUUUGGUGGACUGUUUGGAUAGCUUGCUAUGCUUGUGAUUUUUUCAUCGGGUGAUUGAGUCUGGUGGUAACUUGUUGCUGUUCGGGACUUUGAA